This 35-nucleotide transfer RNA is filed under the name Camellia sinensis. RNAcentral describes it as "partial tRNA-Leu". The record is from RNAcentral. Lineage: Eukaryota; Viridiplantae; Streptophyta; Magnoliopsida; Ericales; Theaceae.
GGGGGGAUAUGGCGAAAUUGGUAGACGCUACGGAC